Molecule: non-coding RNA, 29 nt
Filed under: Mus musculus (house mouse)
Lineage: Eukaryota; Metazoa; Chordata; Mammalia; Rodentia; Muridae
Source: RNAcentral
AAAGAUUAAGCCAUGCAUGUCUAAGUACG